UCAAAUUGGGUGGUAGACUUCACCUAAGGCUAAAUAUCAGCGAGAGACCGAUAGCGAACAAGUACUGUGAAGGAAAGAUGAAAAGCACUUUGAAAAGAGAGUUAAAUAGUACGUGAAAUUGUUGAAAGGGAAACGAUUGAAGUCAGUCACGCUAGUGAAAAUUCAGUUUGACGGGUUUUGGGUUUAGGAGUAAGAGGUAGGGUCAAACCAUCUCUCUUUUAAACUUGGGGUUUGUCGGAUGCACUUAUUCUUUGGCAGGUCAGCGUCGAUUUUGGGAGUUGUAAAAUACUUGGGGGAAAGUAGCUCUGUUUCGGGAGAGUGCUAUAGACCCUGGGAGAUGCAGCUUGCGGGAUCGAGGAUUGCAGCAAAUGCCUUUGGCUUGUCGCCUGAUCUCUAGUUGUUACCUCGUUUAUGACAACAUUCUUGUCAUCGAUGAGUGCUAAUGGCUAUUAGGUUAGAACGAUCAAAAAUUUGCUAAGGAUGCUGGCGUAAUGGCUUUAAACGACCCGUCUUGAAACACGGACCAAGGAG
RNAcentral lists this ribosomal RNA (531 nucleotides) under uncultured Diversisporaceae. RNAcentral describes it as "LSU rRNA". It matches the Rfam family "Eukaryotic large subunit ribosomal RNA", at positions 287 to 673 of the family's 3401-position model. The record is from RNAcentral. Lineage: Eukaryota; Fungi; Glomeromycota; Glomeromycetes; Diversisporales.